Molecule: long non-coding RNA, 610 nt
Organism: Hemicordylus capensis (graceful crag lizard)
Lineage: Eukaryota; Metazoa; Chordata; Lepidosauria; Squamata; Cordylidae
Exons: 4
Source: RefSeq, a predicted model, not a curated record
GGAGGGCAAUGGGGCGGCAGGGAGGUAUGCUGCCGCCCCGAAGGCUUUUAACAGUAAGGAGCACCGCAGGGGAAAAGCGGCGGGAGGAUCAUCACUACAAAUGUAAAUUGUGCAGCUCAGAAAAUUAUCGUGCAGAUCCUUUGUGGAGUGGAAAGCUCUUCAUAAAUCUUAAGUAGCUACAAUUAAUAUCCUGGAAGCACUUCUUACAUUAUCUGAAAGCAGCCUAGUGAGGCAGGCCUGUAUAAUGAUUCCCGUAUGAUAUGUCUUAGAAAUGCAAAUUCUUGUUUUAUAUCAUCAUGGGAAAAGUACCAGAAGACAUUGUAAGGAAGCAGGAGAUAAUGAUUUUUUGUUACAAACCAACCAUUUUAUGAUCUAUGUGUUCCUGCAGAUAUGUUAAGCUCCCUGUUUUUUCAGUGGUUGCUUAGGUUUUAAGAAACAUUUAUUAAGUGGCAGGAAGAAAAAACAUCAUUGUACGUUUUUCAAAAUGAAAGCCCAGUCCUGUAUUAGACACUAGUUUCCUUUCUACAGAACUAAUAAUGCUCGUUUUAAAAAGAUUGUGUAUGUUGCUUUAUUUGUUUCCAGCUAAUGAAAAGUCAUAUGAGCUCUCCUG